UACGUAGGGCGCAAGCGUUGUCCGGAAUUAUUGGGCGUAAAGAGCUCGUAGGCGGUUUGUCGCGUCUGCUGUGAAAACCUCAGGCUCAACCUGGGGCUUGCAGUGGGUACGGGCAGACUAGAGUGCGGUAGGGGUGACUGGAAUUCCUGGUGUAGCGGAGGAAUGCGCAGAUAUCAGGAGGAACACCGGUGGCGAAGGCGGGUCUCUGGGCAGUAACUGACGCUGAGGAGCGAAAGCGUGGGGAGCGAACAGG
This 253-nucleotide ribosomal RNA is filed under the name uncultured bacterium. RNAcentral's name for it is "partial 16S ribosomal RNA". It matches the Rfam family "Bacterial small subunit ribosomal RNA", at positions 524 to 776 of the family's 1533-position model. The record is from RNAcentral.